AGUGAACGCUGGCGGUAGGCCUAACACAUGCAAGUCGAACGGCAGCGCAGUAAGAGCUUGCUCUUACGGGUGGCGAGUGGCGGACGGGUGAGGAAUACAUCGGAAUCUACUUUUUCGUGGGGGAUAACGUAGGGAAACUUACGCUAAUACCGCAUACGACCUACGGGUGAAAGCAGGGGAUCUUCGGACCUUGCGCGAUUGAAUGAGCCGAUGUCGGAUUAGCUAGUUGGCGGGGUAAAGGCCCACCAAGGCGACGAUCCGUAGCUGGUCUGAGAGGAUGAUCCGCCACACUGGCACUGAGACACGGUCCAGACUCCUACGGUAGGCAGCAGUGGGGACUAUUGGACAAUGGGCGCGAGCCUGAUCCAGCCAUACCGCGUGGGUGAAGAAGGCCUUCGGGUUGUAAAGCCCUUUUGUUGGGAAAGAAAAGCAGCAGGUUAAUCCCCCGCUGUUCUGACGGUACCCAAAGAAUAAGCACCGGCUAACUUCGUG
Molecule: ribosomal RNA, 492 nt
Filed under: uncultured bacterium
Lineage: Bacteria
Description: partial 16S ribosomal RNA
Rfam family: Bacterial small subunit ribosomal RNA
Source: RNAcentral